AUUGAACGCUGGCGGCAUGCUUAAACACAUGCAAGUCGAACGGUAGCAGACCUAGCUUGCUAGGUGCUGACGAGUGGCGGACGGGUGAGUAACGCGUGGGAAUCUGCCCAGUAGCGGGGGACAACUCGGGGAAACUCGAGCUAAUACCGCAUACGCCCUACGGGGAAAGGCUUCGGCCACUAUUGGAUGAGCCCGCGUCGGAUUAGCUUGUUGGUGGGGUAAUGGCCUACCAAGGCGACGAUCCGUAGCUGGUCUGAGAGGAUGAUCAGCCACACUGGGACUGAGACACGGCCCAGACUCCUACGGGAGGCAGCAGUGGGGAAUAUUGGACAAUGGGCGAAAGCCUGAUCCAGCAAUGCCGCGUGCAGGAAGAA
RNAcentral lists this ribosomal RNA (374 nucleotides) under uncultured bacterium. RNAcentral's name for it is "bacterial SSU rRNA". It matches the Rfam family "Bacterial small subunit ribosomal RNA", at positions 30 to 412 of the family's 1533-position model. The record is from RNAcentral.